AGCUUUGCGCAGUGGCAGUAUCGUAGCCAAUGAGGUUUAUCCGAGGCACGAUUAUUGCUAAUUAAAAAAAAGUCUCCCUAAUCCUAGUAAGUGUUAAAAAUUUUUGACUUUCACAUUUAUGUUUUUAAUCUUUUUAUAUGA
Zalophus californianus (California sea lion) is the source of this 141-nucleotide small nuclear RNA. Its record names the gene U4. It matches the Rfam family "U4 spliceosomal RNA". From Rfam's summary of the family: U4 small nuclear RNA (U4 snRNA) is a component of the major U2-dependent spliceosome. The structure of U4 snRNA from yeast and human has been reported. The record is from Ensembl. NCBI's taxonomy places the organism in Eukaryota, Metazoa, Chordata, Mammalia, Carnivora, Otariidae.